Long non-coding RNA from Magallana angulata, 1113 nucleotides. RefSeq lists it as uncharacterized. The transcript has 3 exons. NCBI's taxonomy places the organism in Eukaryota, Metazoa, Mollusca, Bivalvia, Ostreida, Ostreidae. The record is from RefSeq and is a predicted model, not a curated record.
UUAAAUGUGAUCACAAACAAACGUUUUAAAGUGUAGACUUAAUCAGGAAUGUUCCAUAAGUUCUCUCAUCAUUUAUCAGCAUUACCUCAAGAAAAAUGAGAUUUCCAUAUGUACUAGCUGUAUAUGUUAUAGUCUGUUCAGGACUUCAGCACUUAUUCCAUCCAAAUUUCAAAGCAAAACACGUCACAUUCGUAAUAGAUAGUCAUAAUAUUACUUAUGACUUUCUUUCGAAAAAAAUUCCAUCUGGAGGAAGGUCGAUGGGAAAGCAUACCUAUAUAGUUGUCUUAAAGAGAAACAACAAUGACGUCGAAUUAUUUUAUCAGGAGUUAGAGUCCUUAGUAUCACGUAAGAUUACAAACAGAGCUUGUCGAAAGCAGAACAAAAUGCCGAAGCAGAACAAAAUGCCGAGAUCCAAAGGCAUAUGCAAACAACCUAGGCCUCCAUAUUGGAUUUGUUCUUUUCAAAUGAAUGAGUUGAAAACAGAAUCGUAUCUAGCCGAGUUCUACGUUCAAGACAGAGGGUCUUGUAAAUUUUCAGUAAACGGCAUGUUUGAGUUGGGAGGAGAAAUGGUGACACAAAACAGUAUUUAUGUGGACCACCUCGAAAAGUCCUCGUUAGAUUCCAAUACCAAAAGAUUUUGCGUUUAAAAAAGCCAAAACGGGGGUAGCUGACUACUACUUACUACAUGUCUAAAUGAAUAAUAAUAAUAACCCGUUUGGUAGCAAUUUUCAGUUGGAUAAAAUAGACAGUUGUACUAAUUUCUUAUACUCUUUUCUCGAAUAUCAUUUUUUGUAUCAUUCUUCAUGUUAAAAAUUCAACUCAUCCAUUUCAUUCAAUGUUUCUAUUGUAUUCUGUGCACAGGAGUGAUUUAUCAACAUAACAGUAACAACAUCGUCGGAAACCCACGGCCAGUCUCCCAUAUGCGAGACUGGCCUUGGGUUUCCGACGAUAGCAAAAAGUGGUGGAAGCAAAAACUCGGGACAGAGUAUAGUCUUUUUCAUAAAAAUAAAAUACAUGUAUCAUUUUUCGAUUGAAAACUCAUUCACCAGUGAAUAUUGCUUAUAUUAUUACAACAAUUAUUCUUUGAUGAUUAUUGUUUGUUAAUUAUUACAU